CAGGAUGUAGCUCAGCUUGGUAGAGCGCUUGUUUCGGGUAUAAGAGGCCAAGGGUUCGAAUCCCUUCAUCCUGACCA
Molecule: transfer RNA, 77 nt
Filed under: Erysipelotrichaceae bacterium
Lineage: Bacteria; Bacillati; Bacillota; Erysipelotrichia; Erysipelotrichales; Erysipelotrichaceae
Also listed under: 1 other name
Description: tRNA-Pro
Rfam family: tRNA
About the family: Transfer RNA (tRNA) molecules are approximately 80 nucleotides in length. Their secondary structure includes four short double-helical elements and three loops (D, anti-codon, and T loops).
Source: RNAcentral